UAAUACAUCGGAAAGUGCCCAAUCGUGGGGGAUAACGCAGCGAAAGCUGUGCUAAUACCGCAUACGAUCUACGGAUGAAAGCAGGGGAUCGCAAGACCUUGCGCGAAUGGAGCGGCCGAUGGCAGAUUAGGUAGUUGGUGAGGUAAAGGCUCACCAAGCCUUCGAUCUGUAGCUGGUCUGAGAGGACGACCAGCCACACUGGGACUGAGACACGGCCCAGACUCCUACGGGAGGCAGCAGGU
Molecule: ribosomal RNA, 242 nt
Filed under: uncultured Variovorax sp.
Lineage: Bacteria; Pseudomonadati; Pseudomonadota; Betaproteobacteria; Burkholderiales; Comamonadaceae
Description: partial 16S ribosomal RNA
Rfam family: Bacterial small subunit ribosomal RNA
Source: RNAcentral